This is a long non-coding RNA of Macadamia integrifolia, 1241 nucleotides long. RefSeq lists it as uncharacterized. Lineage: Eukaryota; Viridiplantae; Streptophyta; Magnoliopsida; Proteales; Proteaceae. The record is from RefSeq and is a predicted model, not a curated record. The transcript has 3 exons.
GUUGAUUUGUAUUGGAGUAAUGGUCAAAUUUUCCUGACUUUUAGUUGGAAGAAGUAUUUAGCGAGAUCGGUCCCAUAAGGCGCUGCUUCAUGGUAACACAGAAGGGAUCAAGCAUACACCGGGGCUUGGCUUUUGUUCAGUUAAACUUUUGGCCCUGAGCAUCGCCCCAUUGUUGAGUUUGCCCUUGAUAAUGUCCAGAUACUGAAGUUGCGGAAAUUUAAGCUAUAGGCUCAACAGAGCAAGGAUGAAGUCCCAGUAGAGCAGCGAAACAAUACUGAAUUUCGGACAGAAGAUGCCAAUCCAAAUGCUGGAGACAAGAAACGGAAACGUAGAGAUGUCAAAAGGUCGGCCAAAACACCAGAACCCGGUAAAGGAAAUGUAAGGGAAAGCAUGGGCCCUUGGGGAGCCACCAGGAAGAACUCCCACCAACCAAGAAGCAGAAGGGAGCUGUGGAGAGAGUAACUGAGGUUGAUUUUGCUGCCAAAGAUCAAUCUAAGACAACUUUGGAGACAAAGAAGCACCAAAAAUUGAGAAAGUUGAAGGGUAGAAAAUCAUCUGAUGCUGGUGAUGUGGCUGUUGAUAUGCGAGAGUUAAAACCUAAAGGGAACAUAGAGAUGAGUCUGAGAAAGAGGAAGCUAGAAGAAAGUGUUCUUUCGAAGCCACAGCCAAACAAGAAAAACCCCAACAAAAGGAAGCGCAAAGACUUGGGGAAGGAGGUCGUGGAUAAACUUGACAUGCUGAUAGAACUAUAUCGAUUCAAGUUUUCACAGCGCACUUCUGACAAGCAUGAUGGUGAAAAGCAAGGUUCUAGACAACUCAGAAGAUGGUUCCAGUCAUAGCUUCCCAGUAGCUAGCCCUUUAAUAGAAUCUGACUGUACUUUCCAUGUAUUGAUGUUUCCGCAGAGAGGGAUGGUUUUGCAUCUUUAUCAUACAGGUUUGUAUUUAUAGCAAGGUUCUAGACAACGAAGAAAUGGUUCCAGUCAUAGCUUCAAAGUAGCUCUUUGAUAGAAUCUGGUUUUAGUUCCCAUGCAUUGAUGCUUCCGUGGAGGGGGAUGGUAUUGAAUUUUUAUCAUGCAAUAUUGUAUUUAUAGUAACUCUUAUUGGUUCUGGCAUUGCGGGAGAGUGUAAUGGAGGAGAGAGAAUAUGAGGGUUUUACACUUGGGUAAUGUAUAGAGAGCAUUUUAUCUUAAAAUAAUUGCUUAAGAUACAAUUAUAAUCAAAUCUGAAUUUUGCACCUUUUA